This 104-nucleotide small nuclear RNA is filed under the name Puma concolor (puma). The record is from RNAcentral. RNAcentral also lists the same sequence under 2 other names. Lineage: Eukaryota; Metazoa; Chordata; Mammalia; Carnivora; Felidae.
GUGCUCGCUUUGGCAGCACAUAUACUAAAAUUGGAAUGAUACAGAGAUUAGCAUGGCCCCUGAGCAAGGAUGCCAUGCAAAUUUGUGAAGUGUUCCAUAUUUUU